GUUGGCUUCUCCUGGAAUAUAGGCAAUGGUAAGAGGGUGAGAUUCUAGGAGGAUCAUUGGUUUGGUAAUGCCACCUUAGCUACUCAGUAUUGAGACAUUUAUGUUUUAGCUAAUGAGCACAAUAUUACUAUUGAUAAAGUGUGGGAUGGAGUUACCCUCAAACUUUUAUUUUAG
RNAcentral lists this ribosomal RNA (174 nucleotides) under Triticum aestivum (bread wheat). Its description in RNAcentral is "partial small subunit ribosomal RNA". The record is from RNAcentral. Lineage: Eukaryota; Viridiplantae; Streptophyta; Magnoliopsida; Poales; Poaceae.